CCCUGCUCCUGCCUAGGACCUUCCUGUCCCGGGGCGGGAGGCAGGAGCCCGGCAGCGCGCCGCCUGCCCCGCCCCAGGAGAUCCUUUGUAUACCGUGGAAUUUCAAAGGCGGAGUAGUAGCUCAUUGUUCCCAUCUCUGACAUGAUUUACAUUUCUUCUUUCCCAAAAACCUUUUAAUCAAAACUCUCAAGUUUCAUUUGAGUUUUAUUUCUUAAUGUGUGUAGUAAAUUUUGUCUGAGUUAUGUAAAGGGAGAUCAAAUUACAGUAUCCUUCAUUCAUUGUGUUCUGUCAUUUAUUUGAAAGACAUUUUCUUAUGUUGUUUUUACAUUUUGCUUUUGAAGUGUCAUGAAAUAAAAGUUCAUUUAAAUCAUC
Long non-coding RNA from Emys orbicularis (European pond turtle), 372 nucleotides. RefSeq lists it as uncharacterized. Lineage: Eukaryota; Metazoa; Chordata; Testudines; Emydidae. The transcript has 2 exons. The record is from RefSeq and is a predicted model, not a curated record.